AACGAACGCUGGCGGCAGGCCUAACACAUGCAAGUCGAGCGAACCCUUCGGGGUUAGCGGCGGACGGGUUAGUAACGCGUGGGAAUAUACCCUUUGGUACGGAAUAGCCUCGGGAAACUGAGAGUAAUACCGUAUGUGCCCUUCGGGGGAAGAUUUAUCGCCAAAGGAUUAGCCCGCGUUGGAUUAGAUAGUUGGCGGGGUAAUGGCCUACCAAGUCUACGAUCCAUAGCUGGUUUGAGAGGAUGAUCAGCAACACUGGGACUGAGACACGGCCCAGACUCCUACGGGAGGCAGCAGUGGGGAAUCUUAGACAAUGGGCGCAAGCCUGAUCUAGCCAUGCCGCGUGGACGAUG
RNAcentral lists this ribosomal RNA (353 nucleotides) under uncultured bacterium. RNAcentral's name for it is "bacterial SSU rRNA". It matches the Rfam family "Bacterial small subunit ribosomal RNA", at positions 29 to 410 of the family's 1533-position model. The record is from RNAcentral.